This 518-nucleotide ribosomal RNA is filed under the name marine sediment bacterium BB0608_AND_2.2_3S0. Its description in RNAcentral is "bacterial SSU rRNA". It matches the Rfam family "Bacterial small subunit ribosomal RNA", at positions 78 to 590 of the family's 1533-position model. The record is from RNAcentral.
GCUUGCACCCCGCUGACGAGCGGCGGACGGGUGAGUAAUGCAUAGGAAACUGCCCAGUAGUGGGGGAUAGCCCGGGGAAACCCGGAUUAAUACCGCGUACGCCCUUCGGGGGAAAGCAGGGGAUCUUCGGACCUUGCGCUAUUGGAUGUGCCUAUGUCGGAUUAGCUAGUUGGUGGGGUAAAGGCCUACCAAGGCGACGAUCCGUAGCUGGUCUGAGAGGAUGAUCAGCCACAUCGGGACUGAGACACGGCCCGAACUCCUACGGGAGGCAGCAGUGGGGAAUAUUGGACAAUGGGGGCAACCCUGAUCCAGCCAUGCCGCGUGUGUGAAGAAGGCUUUCGGGUUGUAAAGCACUUUCAGUGAGGAGGAAAAGUUGGUCGUUAAUACCGGCCAGCCUUGACGUUACUCACAGAAGAAGCACCGGCUAACUCCGUGCCAGCAGCCGCGGUAAUACGGAGGGUGCAAGCGUUAAUCGGAAUUACUGGGCGUAAAGCGCGCGUAGGUGGUUUGAUAAGCGA